AGAGUUUGAUCCUGGCUCAGGAUGAACGCUGGCGGCGUGCUUAACACAUGCAAGUCGAACGAAGCAUUUAAGGACGAUUCUUCGGAUGAGGACUUUUAUGACUGAGUGGCGGACGGGUGAGUAACGCGUGGGUAACCUGCCCUAUACAGGGGGAUAACAGUUAGAAAUGACUGCUAAUACCGCAUAAGCGCACUAGAACCGCAUGGUUCGGUGUGAAAAACUGAGGUGGUAUAGGAUGGACCCGCGUCUGAUUAGCUUGUUGGUGGGGUAACGGCUCAUCAAGGCGACGAUCAGUAGCCGGCCUGAGAGGGCGACCGGCCACAUUGGGACUGAGACACGGCCCAAACUCCUACGGGAGGCAGCAGUGGGGAAUAUUGCACAAUGGGGGAAACCCUGAUGCAGCGACGCCGCGUGAGUGAAGAAGUAUUUCGGUAUGUAAAGCUCUAUCAGCAGGGAAGAAAAUGACGGUACCUGACUAAGAAGCCCCGGCUAACUACGUGCCAGCAGCCGCGGUAAUACGUAGGGGGCAAGCGUUAUCCGGAUUUACUGGGUGUAAAGGGAGCGUAGGUGGCAUGGUAAGCCAGAAGUGAAAACCCAGGGCUCAACUCUGUGGAUUGCUUUUGGAACUAUCAAGCUAGAGUGCUGGAGGGGUAAGCGGAAUUCCUAGUGUAGCGGUGAAAUGCGUAGAUAUUAGGAGGAACACCGGUGGCGAAGGCGGCUUACUGGACAGAAACUGACACUGAGGCUCGAAAGCGUGGGGAGCAAACAGGAUUAGAUACCCUGGUAGUCCACGCUGUAAACGAUGGAUACUAGGUGUGGGGGGACUGACCCCCUCCGUGCCGCAGUUAACACAAUAAGUAUCCCACCUGGGGAGUACGAUCGCAAGGUUGAAACUCAAAGGAAUUGACGGGGGCCCGCACAAGCGGUGGAGUAUGUGGUUUAAUUCGAAGCAACGCGAAGAACCUUACCAAGGCUUGACAUCCCGAGGACCGGACUAGAGAUAGUCUUUUCUCUUCGGAGACCUCGGAGACAGGUGGUGCAUGGUUGUCGUCAGCUCGUGUCGUGAGAUGUUGGGUUAAGUCCCGCAACGAGCGCAACCCUUAUUGUUAGUUGCUACGCAAGAGCACUCUAGCGAGACUGCCGUUGACAAAACGGAGGAAGGUGGGGACGACGUCAAAUCAUCAUGCCCCUUAUGUCCUGGGCCACACACGUACUACAAUGGUGGUCAACAGAGGGAAGCAAUACCGCGAGGUGGAGCAAAUCCCUAAAAGCCAUCCCAGUUCGGAUCGCAGGCUGCAACCCGCCUGCACGAAGCCGGAAUCGCUAGUAAUCGCGGAUCAGAAUGCCGCGGUGAAUACGUUCCACGGGUCUUGCACUCACCGCCCGUCA
Molecule: ribosomal RNA, 1389 nt
Filed under: uncultured bacterium
Lineage: Bacteria
Description: bacterial SSU rRNA
Rfam family: Bacterial small subunit ribosomal RNA
Source: RNAcentral